This 430-nucleotide ribosomal RNA is filed under the name uncultured bacterium. Its description in RNAcentral is "bacterial SSU rRNA". It matches the Rfam family "Bacterial small subunit ribosomal RNA", at positions 30 to 463 of the family's 1533-position model. The record is from RNAcentral.
AUUGAACGCUGGCGGAAUGCUUUACACAUGCAAGUCGAACGGCAGCACGGGGCAACCUGGUGGCGAGUGGCGAACGGGUGAGUAAUACAUCGGAACGUGCCCAAUCGUGGGGGAUAACGUAGCGAAAGUUACGCUAAUACCGCAUACGAUCUACGGAUGAAAGCGGGGGAUCGCAAGACCUCGCGCGAAUGGAGCGGCCGAUGUCAGAUUAGGUAGUUGGUGGGGUAAAGGCUCACCAAGCCAACGAUCUGUAGCUGGUCUGAGAGGACGACCAGCCACACUGGGACUGAGACACGGCCCAGACUCCUACGGGAGGCAGCAGUGGGGAAUUUUGGACAAUGGGCGCAAGCCUGAUCCAGCCAUUCCGCGUGCAGGAUGAAGGCCUUCGGUUGUAAACUGCUUUGUUACGGAACGAAACGGUUACGUCUCU